CCCUUAGAUGUUCGGGGCCGCACGCGCGCUACACUGAAGGACUCAGCGUGUCUCUCCCCCUAUCCCGAAAGGGAUGGGCAACCCGUUGAACCUCCUUCGUGCUAGGGAUUGGGGUUUGCAAUUAUCCCCCAUGAACGAGGAAUUCCCAGUAAGCGCGAGUCAUCAGCUCGCGUUGAUUACGUCCCUGCCCUUUGUACACCCCGCCCGUCGCUACUACCGAUUGGAUGGUUUAGUGAGACCCUCGGAUCGGUCCCGACUCGGGGUGGGCUUCUGCCCCGGUCGUGGUUUCGCCGAGAAGACGGUCAAACUUGACUAUCUAGAGGAGGUAAAAGUCGUAACA
Molecule: ribosomal RNA, 340 nt
Filed under: uncultured eukaryote
Lineage: Eukaryota
Description: partial 18S ribosomal RNA
Rfam family: Eukaryotic small subunit ribosomal RNA
Source: RNAcentral